AUGGGUUUGGGGCUGCACUGGGUUUUCUUGGUUGUUCUUUUAAAAGGUGUCCAUUGUAAGGUGCAGCUGGUUGAGUCUGGAGGAGGAUUGGUGCAGCCUAAAGCAACAUUGAAACUAUCAUGUGCAGUCUCUGGAUUCACCAUCAGUGACUUUACCAUACACUGGAUCCGCCAGGCUCCAGGGAAGGGUCUUGAAUGGGUUGCCAGUAUAAGAAGUAAAGGUUAUAAUUCUGAAACAUAUUAUGCUGAUUCGGUGAAAGACAGAUUCACCAUCUCCAGAGAUGAUUCCCAAAGCAUGGUCUACCUGGAAAUGAACAAUCUUAAAACUGAGGACACAGGCUCCUAUUACUGUGCAAGACAACACAGUUUUAAAUUUCCCAUCACUAUCAUCAUCGUCAUCAUCACAAUCACUAACCUGAAAGCCUGUUCAGACAGUGAAGCAACUUUCUCAGGUCUGAAAUCUGUUGAGAACUUUUGUCCUGAUGUUACAUCCUCAGCAUCUGCACAGGGAUCACAGAAGGAGGAUGCUGCACAUUUCCUCAGAGAGGAUUAUGACUAG
Non-coding RNA from Peromyscus californicus insignis, 558 nucleotides. The record is from the annotation of a RefSeq genome assembly. Lineage: Eukaryota; Metazoa; Chordata; Mammalia; Rodentia; Cricetidae.